GCGUGGGGUGGCGCCGCUCGCCGGCGCCAGCGCCGCGCUCCUCCUUGUCUGCCUCGGCGUGCGGUUCGCUGCUCGGCCGCGCUCGCCGCGAGGUUACCUUGAACAAAUUAUGGUGUUCAAAGCAGGCGUGGGCUGUGAGUACAUUAGCAGGAAUAACGGCACAGGACUCCGGUGGUCCCGUUCUCGUUGGUCUCCGCACCGGAGUAAUGGUUAACAGGGACGGUCGGGGGCAUUCGUACUCCGGCGUUAGAGGUGAAAUUCUUGGAUCGCCGGAAGACGAACUUCUGCGCGUUUGGACGUUUUCAUUAAUCAAGAACGAAAGUUGGGGGCGAAGACGAUUAGAUACCGUCCUAGUCCCAACCGUAAACGAUGCCGACCCCGAAUUGGCGCGCGUAUCACUUGACGCCGCCAGAGGAGAAAUCAGAGUUUUUGGGCUCCGGGGGGAGUAUGGUCGCAAGUCAACUUAAAGGAAUUGACGGAAGGGCACCACCAGGUGUGGAGCGUGCGGCUUAAUUUGACUCAACGCGGGGAAUCUUACCAGG
Molecule: ribosomal RNA, 542 nt
Filed under: Spirogyra sp. PUL1
Lineage: Eukaryota; Viridiplantae; Streptophyta; Zygnematophyceae; Spirogyrales; Spirogyraceae
Description: bacterial SSU rRNA
Rfam family: Eukaryotic small subunit ribosomal RNA
Source: RNAcentral